AGGGGGGGCUAUAAUGCAAGUCGAGCGGGUGGAUUAGAGCUUGCUCUUAUGAAGUUAGCGGCGGACGGGUGAGUAACACGUGGGUAACCUGCCCAUAAGACUGGGAUAACUCCGGGAAACCGGGGCUAAUACCGGAUAACAUUUUGAACCGCAUGGUUCGAAAUUGAAAGGCGGCUUCGGCUGUCACUUAUGGAUGGACCCGCGUCGCAUUAGCUAGUUGGUGAGGUAACGGCUCACCAAGGCAACGAUGCGUAGCCGACCUGAGAGGGUGAUCGGCCACACUGGGACUGAGACACGGCCCAGACUCCUACGGGAGGCAGCAGUAGGGAAUCUUCCGCAAUGGACGAAAGUCUGACGGAGCAACGCCGCGUGAGUGAUGAAGGCUUUCGGGUCGUAAAACUCUGUUGUUAGGGAAGAACAAGUGCUAGUUGAAUAAGCUGGCACCUUGACGGUACCUAACCAGAAAGCCACGGCUAACUACGUGCCAGCAGCCGCGGUAAUACGUAGGUGGCAAGCGUUAUCCGGAAUUAUUGGGCGUAAAGCGCGCGCAGGUGGUUUCUUAAGUCUGAUGUGAAAGCCCACGGCUCAACCGUGGAGGGUCAUUGGAAACUGGGAGACUUGAGUGCAGAAGAGGAAAGUGGAAUUCCAUGUGUAGCGGUGAAAUGCGUAGAGAUAUGGAGGAACACCAGUGGCGAAGGCGACUUUUCUGGUCUGUAACUGACACUGAGGCGCGAAAGCGUGGGGAGCAAACAGGGAUUAGAUACCCUGGUAGUCCACGCCGUAAACGAUGAGUGCUAAGUGUUAGGAGGGUUUUCCGCCUCUUUUAGUGCUGAAGUUUAACGUCAUUAAAGCACUUCCGCCUGGGGGAGUACCGGCCGCAAGGCUGAAACUCAAAGGAAAUUGACGGGGCCCGCACAAGCGUAGCAGCAUGUGGAUUACUCGAAAGCACGCGAGGAUCGUUACCAGUCUGACAUCUCUGAACACCUAAAAGAUAGGGCCUCUCAUCGGAGCAGACUGACAGUUGAGCAAUGAUGUUCGUCAGCUUCGAUGAUCG
This 1054-nucleotide ribosomal RNA is filed under the name Bacillus sp. (in: firmicutes). RNAcentral describes it as "bacterial SSU rRNA". It matches the Rfam family "Bacterial small subunit ribosomal RNA", at positions 38 to 1070 of the family's 1533-position model. Lineage: Bacteria; Bacillati; Bacillota; Bacilli; Caryophanales; Bacillaceae. The record is from RNAcentral.